AUGCUGCCGCCCGAAGAAAUCACCCUGAACGACGACGUCCUGACGGAGAUACUCCUUCGCGUGCCGCCCAAAUCCAUCCUCCGCGCCCGCGCCGUCAGCAAGCACUGGCGCCACAUCGCCACCCGCCCUUGUUUCCUCACAGCCUACGCGCUCCGACGCCAGCCGGAGAUCGUCGCGUUCUUCCGGCUCGACCAAGGCGAUGAGCCAGCCGACGACAAAAGCAGCACCAAUAGCAAAUACAACAAGAUCAAAAAAGCAGUUUGCGCCAUCCCAUUUGACGACGACUUGGAGGGUCGACCACUCCUCUACUAUGAUCCUACCACCAUGUUGUUCCGAGGCUUUUGCUACGGGCUCCUGCUUUUCAACCGAGGAUGCGACUCGCUCUUGAUCUGGAACCCAGCGACGAGGCAAGUGGGCCCCCUUCCAUCACCGCCAAUGGCAUCAUCGCGUGCUUCUGUUCAACCGUUUUGCUUCUAUUACCACCGGCCGUCCGGAAGGUACCGCGUGUUGUGCCAUGUCGAUGAUAUCCCCGCCGACGACACCGCCAACUACAUUCUUUCGACCGGCGCCGCCGAGCCGCGGCGGCUCGGGGACACCAUGCCCGACGGCGUGCUUCGGGAAUCGUCCGCCGUUACUCUCCACGGGAGCCUGCAUUGGCUGAUACACCCGGCUAAGUCUUGUAACCCCGACAAGAUGGUGGCCUUUGACACGGUGUCAGAGAAGUUCCGGACGAUGGCACCACCCCCGGUGCCGGCAGCAGAUAGCCUCAUCUACAAAACGCCUCACCUGUUCGAGAUGAACGGGGCGCUCGCUGUGUCGGCGAUGAGGGAUGCGCCACACAUGGAAGUGUGGACGCUUGAGGACUAUAAUCAGGAGAGGUGGGCAUGGCGCCUCAGGAUCGGCAUACCACAAUACCGGAUCUGCUCACCGUUCACGGCCUCGGCCAUCGGCGUCCUCGAGGUAAACAUGCUGGUCGUCCAACACGAUGGUCGGGUGAUGCUACACGACAUGGCUGGGAAGAGGAAUCAUAGGACAGUUAAAGUUGGGACGACAGGGGAUAUUUCAACUGUAUGGCGACACGGGAUCUACAUGGAGAGCCUCGUCCCGCUCACACCCUCUCCGUCAUGA
RNAcentral lists this ribosomal RNA (1128 nucleotides) under Triticum aestivum (bread wheat). RNAcentral describes it as "partial small subunit ribosomal RNA". Lineage: Eukaryota; Viridiplantae; Streptophyta; Magnoliopsida; Poales; Poaceae. The record is from RNAcentral.